AGGAUAAGCAAAAGUCCACCUUGAGCAAAUAACUAAAAGGAUAAAAAAAAGUCUAUUACAACACAUCAAGUGGCUUUUCUUGAAGCUCCAAUAUUAAAACCAUCAGGUAAAAUUACAGGAGAACAAAACACAGGUGCGGAUUAAUUUAUGAAUAAUGCUUGUGGUACACCGAGGUGUCCAACGGAGUAUCCAAAAUGCCCUCCGUUAUCCUUAUUGAGUUAAACGCUUGAUCUUGAGUCCCAUCACAGUUCACACACAAUCAAGACACGAGUUAAACUCCUUUCUUCAUUUCUUUAAUAAAUAAAAUAAUCAACAGUUAUUUGUUGAAUUGGGUUCAAUGAAUAUAAUAUUAAUAAAUUCAUUCUCUUUCUUAGUGGGUUGGAUUUUAAUUGAAUUUUGUUGAUUACGGUAGUUCGAAUAGAUUAAUGGAAUGCCCCUAUUAUGAUUAUUGCUUCUCUCCAUCGCUAAUGGCAUAUCAAAUUAUAAAAUCUUGAUGCAAUGAACUCACAAAUUUUGGAACAAAUAUAAAUGAAUUUAUGCCAAUAGUAACAAAGAAAUUCAUAAUUUGAGAGUGAGGGUUUAACCAAUAAAUGACUUUACCUAGUAAAACUUUUCUCUCCUCAUAUUCCGUUGUUUAUCUCAAACUUUGAGACCAAGUCCACCGUCUGUGUAUUGGAUUUAUAGAAGAAGAGAAUAUCCAUGGCUAUAUUUCAGGUGAGGUUUUUGCAAAGGGAAUUCAAAUCACAAAAAGAAAUUGAUGAAAAUGUAAUGAAGAGAAGACAACUGCCAACGUGUACUUCAAAAAUCAGAUUUGAAGACUGAAAAUUUAAUGGAAUAGAGAGUUUUUUUUGGCGGAGAAUGAAGAUUCUUGCUGUUUGG
This 879-nucleotide long non-coding RNA is filed under the name Olea europaea (common olive). RNAcentral's name for it is "long non-coding RNA (OEUR_LNC008675)". Lineage: Eukaryota; Viridiplantae; Streptophyta; Magnoliopsida; Lamiales; Oleaceae. The record is from RNAcentral.